GACGAACGCUGGCGGCGUGCCUAAUACAUGCAAGUAGAACGCACAGUUUAUACCGUAGCUUGCUACACCAUAGACUGUGAGUUGCGAACGGGUGAGUAACGCGUAGGUAACCUGCCUGGUAGCGGGGGAUAACUAUUGGAAACGAUAGCUAAUACCGCAUAAUAUUAAUUACUGCAUGAUAAUUCAUUGAAAGGUGCAAUUGCACCACUACCAGAUGGACCUGCGUUGUAUUAGCUAGUAGGUGAGGUAACGGCUCACCUAGGCGACGAUACAUAGCCGACCUGAGAGGGUGAUCGGCCACACUGGGACUGAGACACGGCCCAGACUCCUACGGGAGGCAGCAGUAGGGAAUCUUCGGCAAUGGACGAAAGUCUGACCGAGCAACGCCGCGUGAGUGAAGAAGGUUUUCGGAUCGUAAAGCUCGGUUGUAAGAGAAGAACGGGUGUGAGAGUGGAAAGUUCACACUGUGACGGUAUCUUACCAGAAAGGGACGGCUAACUACGUG
RNAcentral lists this ribosomal RNA (505 nucleotides) under uncultured bacterium. Its description in RNAcentral is "partial 16S ribosomal RNA". It matches the Rfam family "Bacterial small subunit ribosomal RNA", at positions 28 to 507 of the family's 1533-position model. The record is from RNAcentral.